This 473-nucleotide ribosomal RNA is filed under the name uncultured bacterium. RNAcentral describes it as "bacterial SSU rRNA". It matches the Rfam family "Bacterial small subunit ribosomal RNA", at positions 28 to 497 of the family's 1533-position model. The record is from RNAcentral.
GUUGAACGCUGGCGGCAUGCCUUACACAUGCAAGUCGAACGGCAGCGGACCUUCGGGUGCCGGCGAGUGGCGAACGGGUGAGUAAUAUAUCGGAACGUACCUUUCAGUGGGGGAUAACGUAGCGAAAGUUACGCUAAUACCGCAUAUUCUGUGAGCAGGAAAGCAGGGGAUCGCAAGACCUUGCGCUGAUUGAGCGGCCGAUAUCAGAUUAGCUAGUUGGUGAGGUAAAGGCUCACCAAGGCGACGAUCUGUAGCGGGUCUGAGAGGAUGAUCCGCCACACUGGAACUGAGACACGGUCCAGACUCCUACGGGAGGCAGCAGUGGGGAAUUUUGGACAAUGGGCGCAAGCCUGAUCCAGCCAUGCCGCGUGAGUGAAGAAGGCCUGGUUGUAAGACUCUUUCGGUCCGGGAAGAAAUACGCACAGGUUAAUACCUUAGUGUGGAUGACGGUACCGGAAGUAAGAAGACACCGG